This 122-nucleotide small RNA is filed under the name Marmota monax (woodchuck). Lineage: Eukaryota; Metazoa; Chordata; Mammalia; Rodentia; Sciuridae. The record is from RNAcentral.
GGGUGUGGUGGCGCGUGCCUGUGAUCCCAGCAACUCGGGAGAUCUGAGGCAGGAGGAUCACGAGUUCAAAGCGAGCCUCAGCAACAGUGAGGUAUAAGCAUCUCAGUGAGACCCUGUCUCUA